UUACACUUGUAAAUUGUAGGUUACGUUUAUCUUUCCAUCUAUUUUUAAAUAAAAUUAGACUAUUGGAUCUUCAAAAUCUUAAUAAGAUGAUCAAUAUUAUUUUAUAUUAGAAUAGAUGUUUACCUCUCUAUUCCUGGCUAUAACUGUCAAUAUAUGCCAAUAUUACUUAAACAAUUGGAUAGAAUGAAAGCUGUGAGAAGUCAGUAUAUUUUCAUGAAGCUGCCAGCAAGAUUAUUUUAG
Molecule: unclassified non-coding RNA, 240 nt
Filed under: Hevea brasiliensis (rubber tree)
Lineage: Eukaryota; Viridiplantae; Streptophyta; Magnoliopsida; Malpighiales; Euphorbiaceae
Source: RNAcentral